AAAAAAAAAAAACAGGAUGAAUUGGAUGGCUUAAUACAUUAGAAGAAAAAUCAACACCCACGAUAUGACCAGAAAAUCUUUUGGAAUGAAUGUUACAAUAGAAAAAUUCAUGACUUCAGAGUCCCCUUCCUCUAGACCAGCUCUGCUCUUCUGAAUUGAUAGGUUACCAUCUUGCUAUAUAACAGAUACUUCUUUUCAACAAAUCAGACAGAAAAGACAAGAUACCU
This 227-nucleotide unclassified non-coding RNA is filed under the name Hevea brasiliensis (rubber tree). Lineage: Eukaryota; Viridiplantae; Streptophyta; Magnoliopsida; Malpighiales; Euphorbiaceae. The record is from RNAcentral.